Molecule: ribosomal RNA, 437 nt
Filed under: uncultured Oscillospiraceae bacterium
Lineage: Bacteria; Bacillati; Bacillota; Clostridia; Eubacteriales; Oscillospiraceae
Description: bacterial SSU rRNA
Rfam family: Bacterial small subunit ribosomal RNA
Source: RNAcentral
ACGGAAGGCAGCAGUGGGGAAUAUUGGGCAAUGGGCGAAAGCCUGACCCAGCAACGCCGCGUGAAGGAAGAAGGCCUUCGGGUUGUAAACUUCUUUUAGCAGGGACGAAGGACGUGACGGUACCUGCAGAAAAAGCAACGGCUAACUACGUGCCAGCAGCCGCGGUAAUACGUAGGUUGCAAGCGUUGUCCGGAUUUACUGGGUGUAAAGGGCGUGUAGGCGGAGCUGCAAGUCAGAUGUGAAAUGCCGGGGCUCAACCCCGGAACUGCAUUUGAAACUGCAGUCCUUGAGUAUCGGAGAGGCAAGCGGAAUUCCUAGUGUAGCGGUGAAAUGCGUAGAUAUUAGGAGGAACACCAGUGGCGAAGGCGGCUUGCUGGACGAUAACUGACGUUGAGGCUCGAAAGCGUGGGGAGCAAACAGGAUUAGAUACCCUGGUA